RNAcentral lists this ribosomal RNA (440 nucleotides) under uncultured bacterium. Its description in RNAcentral is "bacterial SSU rRNA". It matches the Rfam family "Bacterial small subunit ribosomal RNA", at positions 338 to 792 of the family's 1533-position model. The record is from RNAcentral.
CCUACGGGUGGCAGCAGUCGAGAAUUUUUCACAAUGGGGGAAACCCUGAUGGAGCGACGCCGCGUGGAGGAUGACGGCCCUUGGGUUGUAAACUCCUGUCAUGCGGGAACAAGAAAGUGAUAGUACUGCAAGAGGAAGAGACGGCUAACUCUGUGCCAGCAGCCGCGGUAAUACAGAGGUCUCAAGCGUUGUUCGGAUUCAUUGGGCGUAAAGGGUGCGUAGGCGGUAGUGUAAGUCUGAUGUGAAAUCUCGAAGCUUAACUUCGAAACUGCAUUAGAUACUGUACUGCUAGAGGAUUGUAGAGGAGAUUGGAAUUCACGGUGUAGCAGUGAAAUGCGUAGAUAUCGUGAGGAAGACCAGUGGCGAAGGCGAAUCUCUAGGCAAUUCCUGACGCUGAGGCACGAAGGCCAGGGGAGCAAACGGGAUUAGAUACCCUUGUA